Molecule: ribosomal RNA, 252 nt
Filed under: uncultured prokaryote
Description: partial 16S ribosomal RNA
Rfam family: Bacterial small subunit ribosomal RNA (bases 43-252)
Source: RNAcentral
CCUUCUUCUUCUCUCUUUCUCCUUCUUUCCUUUUCUUCCCUCUCUUUCCUUCUGUUCGAUAAGUCGUGCGUGAAAGCUCCCAGGCUUAACCGGGAGAGGACGUGCGAGACUGUCGGACUAGAGGCAGGUAGUGGCAAGUGGAAUUCCGGGUGUAGUGGUGAAAUGCGUAGAGAUCCGGAGGAACCCCGGUGGCGAAGGCGACUUGCUGGGCCUGAACUGACGCUCAGACGCGAAAGCAUGGGGAGCGAACGG